AUGCUUCCAAAGAUUGAAAUGCCUACACCACAUGAUCAACAACAAUUGAACAUGCAAACAUAUACAAGGCCGAAGUCUCAUGGCCAUAGUAAGGAAAGGACUAGGAUGAGGAGAGCAUACCAAGUCCCCAACGCCGAGACCACUCACCGGCUGUCCUUCAACGCUCUCAAAUGCGGCGUAAUACUUGUUACACUCUUGUUGGAUGAACAACCACCUCUUUUGAAUCGAGGUGAUGCCACGGUUGCUUAUGAUUUGGUAGGGCUCAAACAUGUUCCUUUCAUGGAAUGUUGUGUGGACUCUCAUCCAAAAAACAAGACCCUUUUGUUGCGCGCCGGUCUUUGGAUUUUGGCUAAUCUUCAUCCAACAUUGGCAAAUCAACUUGUCCUCAUCUUGGGUAUAUGA
RNAcentral lists this ribosomal RNA (402 nucleotides) under Triticum aestivum (bread wheat). Its description in RNAcentral is "partial small subunit ribosomal RNA". Lineage: Eukaryota; Viridiplantae; Streptophyta; Magnoliopsida; Poales; Poaceae. The record is from RNAcentral.